AGUAUUUUAACCGUCAUACCAUUUUUCCCAAACCGUGUGGAAUGCAUGAUAUGGUCAAAAAUAGAUUUUUAAAAAAGCUUCCUCUAGAACACAGAACCGAACACAUCACAUGGACUCCGACUCUGUUUUUCCGUCCCCAACAUCAUAUUAUCUAGGCAUGGAACUUCUUCCCUUAGGCUUUAGCGCCACACAGAGGUACAGACAACGCAUCUCUACACAGGCAGGACUGUUUCAAAUAAAUGUUGGGGGUUUCCAUGAAUGCAUUAUGGGUCUGCUGUCCAUUUUAUAUUUUAUUAUUAUUAUUUUUGGCAAAGGUCAAGUUUUUAGAUGACUAUUUUAGAAGUGCCCCUGAGCAUAGUGUCCCCAAACUCCAAAGGUUUCUGUCGCUUCUGCCGAGUGGAUCAUAAGAAAACAUCCAUCCAUUUUCUUUGCCUCUUAUCCUCACGAAGGUCACAGGAGUGCUGGAGCCAUCCCAGCUGUCAACAGGCAGGAGCAGGGUGGACCCUGAACUGGUUUCCAGCCAAUCGCAGGGCACAUGGAGACAAACAGCCGCACUCACAAUCACACCAAGGGGCAAUUUAGAGUGUCCAAUUAAUGUUGCAUAUUUUUGGGACGUGGGAGGAAACCCACGCAGACACGGGGAGAACACGCAAACUCCACACAGGCGGGUCCGGGAUCGAAUCCGGGACUUCAGAACUGUGAAGCCAACGCUUUACCAGCUGUGCCACUGUGCCGCCACAAGAAAACAAGUUCAGGAAAUUGACAAAAGCUGGUGCCAGAUGUUUUCUCAGAUAAGGUCAUCGUAAUGACUUCAACACUCUGAUCCGAGCUAAAGAACACCAUGGCUUUGGAAAAAUAAUAGGUAGCAGCCCCCCACCCCUUCCAUCUCAGAGGCAGCUGCAGCAUAGAUGAUUAUGGAGGCACCCUCUGACGGUGUCUGAAGGAAGGGGAAAAUAAACCAAAAAAAAAGUUGGUGGAAACGUGAGGACUGAAACUCUGACUACAUACAUUGCAGUCAGUCUUGGCAAAUGGCUUUUUGAGUGCCUGCGCCAGGCUCCACAGGUUGUUGUAGAGUGCCGUGUCCACCAUCCCAGGAUCCACAGCGUUGACCAUCACUGGGAAACCUUUGUUUGUCAUCUGCUCUUUGUGUUGCAGAGGACAUGUUGACGAUACGGGAACAGCAACCUGGUCUGCCUGAUUUCUUCAGCAAGUCAAGCAGCAGGAACCAGCAUGGUGCCAGCUAGACAAAGUGACACAAACAACAUGGUUGGAGUGUCAAAAAGCCUUGCCAAAUUCAACACAGUGUCAAAACCGACUCCGUUUGUCACACGGGUAAAACAAGAAAUUAACAUUUAUGUUAAAAACAAAACACUUUAAACAAACACAUUUCAAUAUGUUGGUGCCUUGAGAUAGGUUUAGUGAUGUGUGUGUGUGUGUGAUGAAUCCAGAAGCCCAUCAAACCCAGUUAUAGCACUUCCCUAUUUUGCUGUUUCUGUAGCAACCAUUUUUGUAUUUUGGUGAGGCGCAGAUAACCACAUGUUCAGCUCUCCUCAGUUGCCUCUUUCAAUUUGCUUGGUAGAGAAAGAGCAGUCCUACUCUGCGCCCCGAGUAAUGGAAGUGUAGCUUUUUGAUGCCGUAAAGUGUAACUUCCUACCCUGAGGAAUGAAUACAAAUCUUCUCUGAUCUUAUCUCAUCAAUGGCACUGCUGUGUAGUACUUACAUAUGCUGUACGAGUCUAUAUUAUGCAGAAAACACUUAAAAUAGUGUCUCUUAAAUACAAACAAUUAAAAAUGCAUGCACAUUGGAAGAAUAGGAUGAGGUGUCUACAUAUUCAAAAGUGACAGACACAAAACAAAA
Syngnathoides biaculeatus (alligator pipefish) is the source of this 1857-nucleotide long non-coding RNA. RefSeq lists it as uncharacterized. The transcript is spliced from 5 exons. The record is from RefSeq and is a predicted model, not a curated record. NCBI's taxonomy places the organism in Eukaryota, Metazoa, Chordata, Actinopteri, Syngnathiformes, Syngnathidae.